AGAGUUAAAUAGUACGUGAAAUUGUUGAAAGGGAAACGAUUGAAGUCAGUCAUGUUGGUAGGGAAUCAACUUGAUAGUAUGCGGGUUUACUCGUAUUCUUUCGGGUGCACUUCCUUACUUGCAGGUUAGCAUCAAUUUUGGUUAUCAUAUAAAAAUUGAGGGAAGGUGGCUUUUCUUCGGAAAAGUGUUAUAGACCUUGAUAAAUGUGGUGACUGGGAUUGAGGUUUGCAGCGGAUACCCUUUAGGGCUAGUCACCUGACUUCUGACGGUUACCCUGUCUUCGAUAGCAUGCUAAAGUUGAUGGUCAAUAGGUUAGAAUGGGUUAAAUUCGUUAAGGAUGUUGACGUAAUGGCUUUAAACGACC
This 364-nucleotide ribosomal RNA is filed under the name Acaulospora dilatata. RNAcentral's name for it is "partial large subunit ribosomal RNA". The record is from RNAcentral. Lineage: Eukaryota; Fungi; Glomeromycota; Glomeromycetes; Diversisporales; Acaulosporaceae.